CCGGUACCCUAACCCGUCAUUUGCGAACAAAUUGUUUUGCAUAACACAUAAAGCAUUGAUUGUAGCAGAAGAGGAAGGGGACGGCUAACUCUGUGC
This 96-nucleotide ribosomal RNA is filed under the name uncultured bacterium. RNAcentral describes it as "partial 16S ribosomal RNA". The record is from RNAcentral.